UACAGGGGGGGCAAGCGUUGUUCGGAAUUACUGGGCGUAAAGGGUUCGUAGGUGGCCACCUAAGUCAGACGUGAAAUCCCUCAGCUUAACUGGGGAACUGCGUCUGAUACUGGUUGGCUUGAGUGCAGGAGAGGAACGCGGAAUUCCAGGUGUAGCGGUGAAAUGCGUAGAUAUCUGGAGGAACACCGAUGGCGAAGGCAAUCCCCUGGACCUGUACUGACGCUCAUGCACGAAAGCGUGGGGAGCAAACAGG
RNAcentral lists this ribosomal RNA (253 nucleotides) under uncultured bacterium. RNAcentral describes it as "partial 16S ribosomal RNA". It matches the Rfam family "Bacterial small subunit ribosomal RNA", at positions 524 to 776 of the family's 1533-position model. The record is from RNAcentral.